UUGGUUAAGUUAGAAAGGGCGCACGGUGGAUGCCUUGGCACUAGGAGCCGAAGAAGGACGGGACUAACACCGAUAUGCUUUGGGGAGCUGUACGUAAGCGUUGAUCCAGAGAUUUCCGAAUGGGGGAACCCACUAUCUUUAGUCGGAUAGUAUCCUUACGUGAAUACAUAGCGUGAGGAAGGCAGACCCAGGGAACUGAAACAUCUAAGUACCUGGAGGAAGAGAAAGAAAAAUCGAUUUCCUGAGUAGCGGCGAGCGAAACGGAAAGAGCCCAAACCAAGAAGCUUGCUUCUUGGGGUUGUAGGACACUCUAUACGGAGUUACAAAAGAAAGUUAUAAAUGAAGCGGUCUGGAAAGGCCCGCCAAAGACGGUAACAGCCCGGUAGUUGAAAUGGCUUUCCCUCCAGAGUGGAUCCUGAGUACGGCGGAACACGUGAAAUUCCGUCGGAAUCCGGGAGGACCAUCUCCCAAGGCUAAAUACUCCCUAGUGACCGAUAGUGAACCAGUACCGUGAGGGAAAGGUGAAAAGCACCCCGGAAGGGGAGUGAAACAGUUCCUGAAACCGUGUGCCUACAAGUAGUUAGAGCCCGUUAAUGGGUGAUAGCGUGCCUUUUGUAGAAUGAACCGGCGAGUUACGAUUUGUUGCAAGGUUAAGCGGAAAAAGCGGAGCCGUAGCGAAAGCGAGUCUGAAUAGGGCGCAUAAGUAACAGGUCGUAGACCCGAAACCAGGUGAUCUACCCAUGUCCAGGAUGAAGGUAAGGUAAUACUUACUGGAGGUCCGAACCCACGCACGUUGAAAAGUGCGGGGAUGAGGUGUGGGUAGCGGAGAAAUUCCAAUCGAACUUGGAGAUAGCUGGUUCUCUCCGAAAUAGCUUUAGGGCUAGCCUCGAGGUAAAGAGUCAUGGAGGUAGAGCACUGUUUGGACUAGGGGCCCUUCUCGGGUUACCGAAUUCAGAUAAACUCCGAAUGCCAUGUACUUAUACUCGGGAGUCAGACUGCGAGUGAUAAGAUCCGUAGUCGAAAGGGAAACAGCCCAGACCACCAGUUAAGGUCCCCAAAUAUAUGUUAAGUGGAAAAGGAUGUGGGGUUGCUUAGACAACCAGGAUGUUGGCUUAGAAGCAGCCACCAUUGAAAGAGUGCGUAAUAGCUCACUGGUCGAGUGACCCCGCGCCGAAAAUGUACCGGGGCUAAACAUAUUACCGAAACUGUGGAUGAACCUCUUUAGAGGUUCGUGGUAGGAGAGCGUUCUAAGGGCGGUGAAGUCAGACCGGAAGGACUGGUGGAGCGCUUAGAAGUGAGAAUGCCGGUAUGAGUAGCGAAAGAAGGGUGAGAAUCCCUUCCACCGAAUAUCUAAGGUUUCCUGAGGAAGGCUCGUCCGCUCAGGGUUAGUCGGGACCUAAGCCGAGGCCGAUAGGCGUAGGCGAUGGACAACAGGUAGAGAUUCCUGUACCAGUGCUAAUUGUUUAACCGAUGGGGUGACACAGAAGGAUAGGGAAUCGCACGAAUGGAAAUGUGCGUCCAAGCAGUGAGUGUGAGAAGUAGGCAAAUCCGCUUCUCGCGAAGCAUGAGCUGUGAUGGGGAAGGAAAUUAAGUACGGAAGUUCCUGAUUUCACGCUGUCAAGAAAAGCCUCUAGGAAGAGUAGUACUGCCCGUACCGCAAACCGACACAGGUAGAUGAGGAGAGAAUCCUAAGGUGAGCGAGAGAACUCUCGUUAAGGAACUCGGCAAAAUGACCCCGUAACUUCGGGAGAAGGGGUGCUCUAUUAGGGUGCAAGCCCGAGAGAGCCGCAGUGAAUAGGCCCAGGCGACUGUUUAGCAAAAACACAGGUCUCUGCAAAACCGUAAGGUGACGUAUAGGGGCUGACGCCUGCCCGGUGCUGGAAGGUUAAGAGGAGUGCUUAGCUUCGGCGAAGGUACGAAUUGAAGCCCCAGUAAACGGCGGCCGUAACUAUAACGGUCCUAAGGUAGCGAAAUUCCUUGUCGGGUAAGUUCCGACCCGCACGAAAGGCGCAACGAUCUGGGCACUGUCUCAACGAGAGACUCGGUGAAAUUAUAGUACCUGUGAAGAUGCAGGUUACCCGCGACAGGACGGAAAGACCCCGUGGAGCUUUACUGCAACCUGAUAUGGAAUGUUUGUACCGCUUGUACAGGAUAGGUAGGAGCCGAAGAGACGUGUGCGCUAGCAUACGAGGAGGCAAUGGUGGGAUACUACCCUGGCUGUAUGACCAUUCUAACCCGCCACGCUUAGCGCGUGGGGAGACAGUGUCAGGUGGGCAGUUUGACUGGGGCGGUCGCCUCCUAAAGAGUAACGGAGGCGCCCAAAGGUUCCCUCAGAAUGGAUGGAAAUCAUUCGCAGAGUGUAAAGGCACAAGGGAGCUUGACUGCGAGACUGACAAGUCGAGCAGGGACGAAAGUCGGGCUUAGUGAUCCGGUGGUUCCGCAUGGAAGGGCCAUCGCUCAACGGAUAAAAGCU
RNAcentral lists this ribosomal RNA (2473 nucleotides) under Listeria monocytogenes. Its description in RNAcentral is "partial 23S ribosomal RNA". It matches the Rfam family "Bacterial large subunit ribosomal RNA", at positions 1 to 2464 of the family's 2925-position model. Lineage: Bacteria; Bacillati; Bacillota; Bacilli; Caryophanales; Listeriaceae. The record is from RNAcentral.